CUUCAAUAGCUUUCAAGAGUGAAGGUUGAAUCUCUCCUCCUCUUUCAAGUCCUUCAUCAUCUCUGAAGGUGCGAAUACCCGUCCGUCUCAACUUUUUAUAAAGAUGAUCCGUAAAAUUGAAACGGGUGUCUUCGCCUCUAAAGUUCAAAAAGACAUCCCAACGCCAUGGAAAAGGAGGAGAGAGAGUUGAUCUAGUUAAGCUUCUCUUUCUCUUUGGAGCCAUAGUCGGGGACGUUGUUUGUCCAAAAUUACAGAGACACUCAGGAAAUUUUUGGGUUGUUAAGUGUCAAAAACUCAAAAUUUCAAGAGAGUCAGAAGAUUUAUCCCUCUACCUUCUAAAAUUGGAACUUCCUCCCAUCCUCCGACCAACUUUAAUCUUCAUUUUUUCUUUUUAAAAAACGCGUGUCUUGGUCAAAAAGAAAAAACGUGUGGGGACGCUGAAUGGGGCAAAAUCCUCUCUUAAACGACUACAUCGUUUUAAAAAACGAAAAAACAAAGAAUUAAAACAGAUGAAAUAAUCCCGCUAACCUCCUACAAUUCCAUAAUUACCCCUUAGGUGACCCCCCUUUUCCCUGUUAGGGACAAUUUUACUCAAGGUCUUACUUAAAUACCAUUAUUGGUUUGAAAAUUUAUCAAAUAUCAUAAUUAUUUUGAAUUAGAAGGGAGUUCAGUGAAAAAUCAAAUAAGAAGGAUUUGAGAGAUGUGUGAUGAAAAUUUCAAAUCAAUAAAAAUUAAAUGUAUUUAGUUAAAACCUUAUAAAGAGUCUAUAAAAUUAACUUUUUUUAACUAUUUUAGAAUGGCGAUAUAAGCCAACCCUCUUUUUUGUCAAAUCCAUGUAAAAAAAAUAUUGAGUUUGCCCUCUUCCAUUAAAAUAAUAUUCUAAAUUUAUUAUUAUUAUUAUUAUUAUAUAAAGUAUAACCUCUUUUUAAUUUAUUUGAAUAUAUUUAUAAAUAAAAAAUCUGUUUGGCUCUUUAUGAAAAAUAUAAAUAAUUUUGAAAUAUUUAUAAUUUUAUUAAAUGUCUGGAAAUGAAUUUUAGCUAAAUAAAGGAUAAAAUGCUGUUUUAUUAUUUUCUCAUCAUGUGAUUAAUUGGCAGUUGAAAAAAUAGUGAAAAAAAAAUAAUAACAAAAUACUAGAAAGGACAGUCUUCUAUUUUGUAAUAAAAUAAUGAGAUUGAAUUCUCAAUAUCAAAAAACCCCUCUGAUGUUACUAAAAUUAUAUUGUUAGAUAAUUAUAUACUUUUGUAAAUAUAAAUAUUAUCCAUUUAUUUAUCAAAUUAUAAAAAUAUUAUUAUUAUAGUGAAUAAGUUUCCUUAUUUAUUUCAAACUUCAUAAAAUAAAUCAUAAAUUAAAAAAGAAAAAACAGUUCAUCUUUUCCUAUCCAUUUAUUUAUCUAUAUAUGUGUGUGACUAUGAAUAUAUUUAUUUGGAUUUCUAUAAUGUGGAAGAGCAUGUUUGAAGACUCUUUCUUAUAUUUUCGUCAGGGUGGCUGAAAUGAUCCGAGAAUUGCGUUUAUCAAUGUUUAGAUGAUGAUAUUUGGUGAGGUUUGGAUGGUGAUGGUGAUGGUGAUGUUACUCGACAAUAGAGAAUCCACAUCUCAACAUCAGGAGCAAAGGUAAGUUCUCAUCGCAUGCUUUGCUUGAUCUCCACCAAGUGCCCAUCUCAUUAAACAAAUGGGUUAGAUGAUAAACUAUAUUUAAUUCCCGUAUUUGUGAGCCCAAAGGCAAUCCUUGAGUCCAGAAUAGAAAAAUAAGGUUGCUUCAAACGUAAAGUUAUUGCUAACGACCGUUUCUUUAGGAAUAUUUUUUUUCUGACAAGUGGGUCUCUAUAUAUUAAGAGAUUAGAAAACAAAAUAGAAUGGGUUGGAGACCAUUGGAUAUGCUUUUGUCCUCUCCAAUCAAGAGAGGGUUAGUCAUGGGGCUCAAACUUAAUGGCUAUAUCAUAAGAUUGGCUGUAUGGAAGCUAGCUGUAUCAAAGCGACAACCACUUCAUGGGUUCCACUGGAGUAAUUUGAUUUUAAGUUAUUUAAUAUCUACUUAACCCAAUCUGAAGCUUUAAUAUACUACCAUCUAAGUGAUGAAAUUUUCAUCUGUUUCUUUCAUCAGUGCCAGUGCCAGGUUAAUUUUCGGAUUCUAUGUUCCGCUUCAUCCUUGAAGCAUACGCAAUUAAAUAUAGUUGGAUUGGUAGUGGGGGUUCCUCUUAAGGUAUUAGUUUAAAAUAAAAUUUUAUUAUUCUACAAAGAGCAUGUCAUAGAGCUUUGAUCGGGUCUUGCCCGGAUUCCAGUACAACGCUUGGACUGGAAAAAGCUAAAAUAUAAUAUAACACAAAACGUAAUAUUUUUUAUAAAUUAUUCAUUUAUUGAAAAAUCAAUAACUUCAUUAAGAUAAUAAUUUCUCUGGAUCUCAAAAGUAUUAUUUAGAAUUAUAAUAGACAAAAUGUAAUAGGAAAAGUUUAUAAUAAGAAAUAAAAUAAUAUUUUAUAUUUUAUAUUUAGUUCUUUAUAACAUAUUUAAUCAUAGGAUAAGUCCCAACAUAACUUAUCUAACAUCACCUCUAUAUUCCUCCUCAUAAAAUAUAAUAAUCAAAGUUGAAUGCAUAUCUUAUAUCUUAUGAAUCCUCAAAAUUUUUAAUUUUGAUGUCAAUUAUUUUUUGUAUAGUUAAGAUAAAGAAAUUUGAAUAUUAAUAUUUUAAAAAAUAAUAAUUUAACAUAUUUCCAAAUAUCUAAAAAUACAAAUUUUUUUUCCUAUUUAUAUAAUGAAGAUAAUAAUUCAAAAGCUAAUAAUUUAAAAGAACAAAGUAAUUUAAUAUGUUUUGAAAUAUGAAAUAUCCCAAAAUUGGUUACAAUAAUUAAAAUUUUAUAAUAUUUAGUGAUUUAAUUGAUUAGUAAAUUGGUCAUUGGUUAAUAAUCUAUAUUUUCCUAUUUUAUAUAAUAAAGAUAUGAUAUUUGAAAAUUAAUAAUUUGAAAAAAAAAUAAUUUAACAUAUUUCAAGAUAUAACAAAAUAGCAAAAUUGAUUACAAUAACAAAAUGUUGGUUAAUGAUUAGUAAUGUAAUUAAUAAAAAAAAUUGAUAAUUGGGUAAUAAUUAUUGUUCCUAAUAAGGUGUCAUCCUAAAAAAAUAUUAAAUCCUUGUAAGUUAAAUUUCAUUAAUUACUUAUUGAUUUUUGUUAAUAAAAUAUGUGUUCAUGAAAUUAAUUUAUUAAUUUCUUGUUCUUAAUUUAAGGAAGGGUAUCAAAUCUUACGAUUUUUUUUAAUUAAUUGGAAUAGUUUAUUCUAGUAGAUAUUUAUAACAUUAUGAGUUGUGUUUUGAACUUCUAACUGAAGAAAAUUCAUUGAUUAUGAGACAAAAAUAUUAGUUUAUGUGGUUGAAUCUUAGUUUGAAUCUUGGAAUUUUAUGGACAUAUUUUAGAUUUGUUUCUUAAUUUAGGACAAAGAUAAAACAUUUUAUAUUUUCCAAAGUGGAAAAACAAACAUUUAUGUUUAAGUUUUAAAGAAGAAAUAUAAACAAGCGUAAGCAAUUAUAUAGUCAAGAAAAUAAACAAGCCGAGAGCAACCUGAGAGCUCAUGGAAAACAAUUGUCUCAAUUUCUUAUUAUUUUUUAUUAUUAGGUGCAAAAUUCUUCGGCAAAAAUCUUGUAGUUGUCUUACAUGCCACCUUGCUAAAAAGUAUAUAAUUAAGUUGAAAAAUAAAGUCUUGGUCAAAAUAAAAAAGCAUGUGGGGGACCUUGUCUCAAAUCAAAAACAAAGGAAAUGAUGUGCGGGGACCUUCAAUGGGGGCAAACUAGUCUAUAAUUAUUCUUUCGCUCAUGCAUUUAUUAUCUUUCUCAAUGUUUUUAGAAUUGGAUUAGAGUUCAAUAAUCUGAAUUAAAUUUUUAGUAGUGAUGUGCCUUGUGGUUAAUUUAACCUCACAAUGAGGUGUUUCACAUAUUUGUGGGAAUAACCAUCCAUAUAUAGUCUAAGGAGACUUGGGAUAUAUUGCAAGUAACACAUGAGGGCUCAAUACCGUGAAAAUAUCAAAACUUCAAAUGCUCAUGGCUGCUUUUGAGUUGAUUCACAUGGCAAUCGGGUAAGAUAUGCUUGAUUAGGAUGGCAAUCGGGUAUGUUUGGAUGUGCCACCCUCAUCCUAAUUCCAUCCUAAUUAUAUAUAUUAUAACAAAAAACAAGAAGGCUUUCUGCUUUCCCAAUAAAUCGAAAAGGAUAACUACAAUUUUAUUUAGAUGCACAAAUUAGCAGCAAAACCUUGAAACUAUGAAUCAAUUUUGUCUAUAUUUUUCUCCAAAAAAUCCUACUUAACGUAAUCAUAGCACAUAUUGUGGGAAUUCCUGACUGAAUAACCAUUCCAAGUUGAGAUGCCCCAUAAAUUGUAAGAUAGUAAAUCUGAAAAAUACCAUUCAGAAAUUACUGAUAAUGGGGCAUAAAUUCUGCAGCUUCAGAUAUAUUAUGUCUAAAUAAGAAGACAAAAAGGAAUCCAAUUAUUAAAAUAGAUAAACGUUUCAAACUGAAAAAUGAAAAUUUAGUAAGCAUGAACCACUCUCUGAAGUCGGUGUGUGAUAAUGGGGAAGGUGAUAAAAAUAGUGUGUGAAUGCAACUUAUAGCUGGUCUUGUUCUUGCUUUUAGCUGAUCUUAUAGUUAAAAUAGUGUGUGAUCGCCCCUAGAUGCCUAGAGUAUUGGCUGAAGGAGGAGAGAAAAGGAAGGACAUCAACUUUCAUAAACGUUAAUCUUCUCCCAGAUGUGUCAUUCUUGAUUACUCUAUUAGAGGUAUUUUAGCAGUCCAUAGUGUGUAAAAUGGUCAAUUCCUUUGUUCAGACAUUUAAUCCAAAUAGUGAAUUUCAAGUGUAGGGGUUUCAAAUUCUCAAAUCCUAAAAAUCCAGAACAAUGUUGCUGAGCACAUUUAAUAUUUUUGUUAAAUAGCACAAAGAAAAAAAGAAAAGAAAAUUGAAAAAAAAAAAAGAAAAAAAAGAAAUCCUCCCAAAGAAUUAAUUUCAGUUGCUUCAAUAACUUUGGCGUACGGAAGUGAGGAGAGAAACAGAGGUGACUUAUCAUUAAUUAUUUUGGCGUACGGAGCCAUUCCUGGUGGCACUUCGGAAAUUUUCCAUAUUGUUACCACUUGUAUUUGGGGCAUAUAUAAGACGGAUCGCACACUUUUUCACCUCAUGCGAUGCCCCUGAUAGACUAAAAGAAGCCUCGAUGUGCUUGAACACACUGGCAUAGGUAGACUUUGAUUUCACAAAUUGACUGCGAGGUUGAUACAUCAUACACACGUGAUCCGUCUCAACAACUCGGUCUCCACUGUGUGUCCAAGUGAUGGAAUGACUGAAAUAAGGCCCUUCCCCGCAUUCAAAAAUACAGCGAAUCUCACCAGGCCGCUGAAUAGUUUCGCCCUCCUCAAGUGCAAACACAGCACAUAGAGCAACCCCCAAGAAGUUAUUGUCAAGCCAAUGUGGACGCAGGGUUGCUGAAACUGAAGCUCCCAUAUUCUCAUGCCAGCGCCCCUUUGGAAUCCUACUUCCAGGAAUCAAAAUACUGUACCCUAUUUCUGGAAAAAGUUUCUGCACCAUGCAGUUUAUAAUGUUAAUAUAAUAAUACCAUUGAGAGAGAGAGAGAGAAAGAAAGAAAGAGAGAGAGAGAGAGAGAGAGAGACCUGAUGAAGUGUCUCUAAUGCCAUUGCCACAUGAUCCUGAUAUAGUCCGGAGCAAUUCCAUAGCAUGAAUUCCACAGGACGAAGCCAAGUGGAAACCAACCGGUGUUGUAGGCUUAUCAUCCAAGAUGGAGUCGAUAAAGACCUCAGGGAUGUGCAAUCACAGGCAUCUAAUAAUUUUAUGUUUGGUGGAAGCUUCGGAAUUUUUUGAAGUUUCUCACACUGCCUCACCAAAAGAACUUUCAGAUUAGAAAGUCUACUGAUGUCUGCAGGUAUGCUAACCAUAUAGUUUCUGCUGAGGUUUAAUACUUCCAGAAGCUCCAAGUGGCAAAGCUUGUUAUCGAUUGUUCCUUCCAUUAAAUUGCAGUCACUUAGAUCUAAAUUUUUCAUGAAGCGUAGACCUGACAAAGAAGGCAACUGCAAACCAAUAUCAUCUGAAUUUUCUCUAUGCAGUAACCUGAAUGUAAGGGAUGAGAUCCAGAAGUUAGAUGUUGAUCCUUUGCAUCCCCUAAAUGAUAACUCUCUAAGGUUUGUCAAAUGAACAAGUGUGAUGGGUGGUUUUGUUAUGGCAGUUCCAUCAGCUUGAAGACUCCUUAAGCAUUGCAACAUUCCCAGGUCCUCUGGCAAUCUGUUGAGUUUUGAGCAACCAGAAACAAUGAGGGUUUCAAGAGAUUUCAAACCACAAAUUCUAUUUGGAAGACUCCUGAGGUCUUUGCAUUUUCUCAGAUUCAGUAACACAAGACCUUUGAGAUGAAGAAUUGAACAGGGCAGCUCUCUUAUAGAUGUUCCAUCUAAAAGAAGCUCUUCUAAAUGUUCCAUAACUUCCGUGAUCUCUGGAAUUCUCUCUAGUUUUGAACAGCCAGAAAGGAUGAGAGUUUUGAGGGAUUUCAAAUCACAAAUUCUGCCAGGAAGGAUCUUAAGGUUUUUGCAGCUUUUCAUAUUUAAUAAAACAAGCCCUCGGAGAUACCCAACCGAUGAGGGAAGUUCAAUGAUAGCAGUGCCUUCCAAAUAAAGCUCCAAUAAAGACUCCAUAUUGGCUUCGAUGUCUGGAAACUUCUCAAGUCUUGAGCACCCUGAGAGGUUAAGAACUUCAAGUUUUUUUCCAAUCCAAUGAUUCUGGGAAAAUAGUAAAGCAUCCUGCAGUUUCCCAAAUUCAAGAUCUUAAGAUUUUUCAGCCUAGGAAUUGAUGGGUGCACCUCAUGCAAGCUUGUACAACCAUCCAGAUUUAGUGUCUCCAGAGAUGGUGCACCAGACACGUCCGGACAUUCAACCAGGUAUGGAGAGUGACUGAGAUCCAUGACCUUUAAAUUUUCAAGACACUGUAACAUAAAAAUAAAAUAAAAAUUGUUGAAUAAAUUUUCUUGGAAGAACUUCAAAAUUUAUUGAGAAUAAGUAGUGAUCAUACCUUGUUCCCUUUCCAAAGGUGGUUUAAGCUGCUAUGCUUCAAACUGAGUUCAACCAGUUUCUUACCAUUAAAAUUUGACGGCAACGAUUCCAGACUCCAUCCAUCCCAAUGAAGAUAUCUUAAUUCAUAGGAAGGAAAUUCGAAUUCUUCGGGAAGGUGCACUGUGUUAGAAUCAUAUGAUGAAAGUCCAUCCCAAUAGACCCUGAGGAAUCGAAGUUUUGUCAUAUUUUUAAAAGCUUCAGUCGUAAUCUGUAUUUCUUUUGAUGCCGACACAUCAAAGGAUAUUCCUUCGAUUGCCUCUGUCCCCUAAAACCAACAACAGAGGAUAAGUGAAGCACAAAAUGCUUAAAAUCAUAUACAUAAGCAACUUCUUAAGUGAAAUUAAAUGCCUUAAAAGUUUAAAUAAGUUCAGGCACUUGUCUCUUAAAGUUUUUUGUGUCAACACAGCAUGAACAUCUUCUGGAUUCCACAAUCUACUCCAUUUGCCAGGUUGUCCAGGAAAUUCUCCCCGAAUGAUUUCCCAACCCAUUUUUUGCAUCAAAUCAUGCAUUUCUAUCUUGUUGUCUAAAAUACUGAUGAGAGAACAAUCUUUGAGAACUUCCAUUCCAAUUGUAGAGAAGUUGCAACUAUCAAGUAUUCUUCCAACAGAAUCUGAGUCCUUCCCUCUGAAGAACAUGCAAUAUCAAGGAAUAGAUCCUUUUCUGUGUGAUCCAGUCUAUCGUAACUUAAUCUAAGCACUUUUUGGACAUUCCUUUCCCCUACUGUUUGUAGCUUAAGCAGUGUAUUUUCCCAUUCAAGCUUCCUCCUACCAUACAGGAGAGAUCCCACAACUUUAACAGCAAGCGGAAGUCCAUCACAGUAAUUUAAUGCACGUCCGGAGAGGUCCCAAAACCCAUCGCGAGGAAGGUCUGCCUUGAACGCCCACAAACUAAACAGUUGAAGAGCUUCCUCAGAGUUUAAUUUCUCAACCUCAUAUAAUUCAUCAACUUCAUGCACAUCGAGUAAAUGUUUAUUUCUCGUUGUUAUGAUAAUUCUACUACCUGAACCAAACCAGUGAUGGCUCCCUGCCAAGAAUUCUAAUUGAGUCAAAGCACUAACAUCAUCUAGAAUGAUAAGAACCUUUCUAGAGCAAAGCGUCUUCUUUAUCAAGCUAAUGCCUUCAUCAAUGUUGCUUAUGCGUGCAAUUUUUGGCCAUAGGAUAUCUUCUAGAAGUUGUCUUUGUAAUUCAAGCGAUCCACGGUGUUCCUCUACCUCUGCAACAUUUGAAAGAAAUCUAGCAUCUUCGAAUUGAUGAGCAAUUUGGUUGUAUAUUCCUUGGGCGAGGGUAGUCUUGCCUAUUCCAGCAAUUCCAUGUAUUCCUAUCAUUCAUUCGAACAUCAUUUGACUCCAUACAUAAUCGUGACGACAUUUCUUCCAAACGGGAAUUGAUUCCUACCAGGUUGUCAGGAAGAUAUAAGAGUUCAGGACGACAGUUCAGCAUUUUCGAAAUGCGUCGAACAAUUCCUUGAAUAAUCUGAGAUUCAUACCUGCCAAAUAAAAAGCACAAUAUACGAACGGCAAAUUAAUUAUAAGAAAGGCAGGGAAAAAAAUAAAUUGAUGAUGUUUAAUUUCAAUAUUUGUCAUGCUAUCAAUUGAUUUAUCCUAAUGCCUAAUUCUGAUCAAUAGUACUAUCAUGGAGACAAAAUACUAUCAUUUUGUGUAUAUAUAUAUAUGAAAAGGAUUUUAAUACUAAAGUACUAAAAAUGAUUUGUUUUUAAAUUUAUUUGUAAUUAUAAAACUAUUAAUAAUGAAUAUAAUAUGAAUUCAAUUUCAUUAAUAUUAUAUAUAAAUUGAAUUCACAAAUUUUUUGACAAAAUUUAAAUAGUAAAUUUAUUUUUCAAAAUAAUUUAUCCAAAUGAGUAUUUUAUUUUUUAUUUGUUGAAAAGUGAUUUUAAAAGCAAGUUAUCAAGUACCAUUGUUUUUUAAAAAUACUAAAAAAUAUGGUAUUUGUUCUUUAAUUUAAAAAUAUAUUUUAAAAAUAAAUAUAAAAAUACAGUGCUAAACCAAUCUUAAAAUUUGAAUAUGUACAAGCAUAUAGGAGGUGAGCAAUCAGGAAUACAAAGAAUUGACUAAGAUUCCAUUAAACAGUGUUUUUUCAAGAAUCACUCAAAGUAAAUUUUUAAUUUUUUAAAACUAGUUAAAUUUUUGUUCAAAAACAUUUUUUUUAGAAUGUUUUUCUAUUUUUGAAAUUAAAACCCUGUUUUAAAAAAUUUAUGGUCAGUUUGGUGGUCAUUCUCUACAAAUAAUCUUUAAAAAUAAGAUGAAAUAAAAAACAAUUUUGGAGAACAAGUAAUAGAAGUUAUUUUUACAUAUUUAUAAAAACAAAGAAAAGCAUUGGGAAGUAAUUUAAAAAAGAAAACAAUAAAAAAUUAAACAAAGUCCAGUAGAUGUCUUUCUUCUUUUAUUCUCUCUCCACCGAUCAGUAUCAAAAUUUUUAAAUAUGAUUCCUUUUUAAUUACACUUUAUUUAUUUAUUUAUUUAUUUGAAUUUACUUUAACUUUUAAAUUUCUUUAGAUAAAUAAAUUCCAAAUCAAAUGGUACUUGAUAUAUAUGAUUUAUUAAUUUAAAAAAAAAUUAAAACUCAAAAACCAAUCCAAUUAAUAUUGGAAAGUUACAAAACUCAAAACCAAUAUAGAAAACAAAUUUUGUUAAUUUUUUUACCAAGCAAAUGAACUUCAAAUCAAGCAAAACUUCCUAUAUUUUUUUUAUUCAUAAAUAAGUUUAGUAAUUUUUUAAAAUAAUUUUAAACUCAAAUAAUAACUAAAUUAAUAUAAAAAAAUUAUAAACAAAAAUUAGUUUAAUAUGACUUUAUUAUUUAAUUAAUGUGUAGAAUCAUUUUUUCUUUAAUUUGUUAGCAAGUUUAUCAAUUUGAAAAAAAAAUAGAAUUCAAAACACAACACAAUUAGUAGUGGAAAUUCACGAUCUAAAUUCUAUCCAAAAUGACUCUUAUAUUUCUCAUACAUAACUUUAUUUUUAUGGGUUUUGUCGUUGGAAAAUGGAUUUUUAAUAGAAUUAAAAAAUAGACGCAAGUACUAUAAAAAAUAAUAAACCAAAAUUACUAUAAAAAAUAAUAAACCAAAAUUAAUACAUAAUAAGUUAUAACUUACUGUUUCUCCUAAGCGCAUAACCAUAUUGUAGACCCCUUUUUUAUGAGGGGCCCCUGGGGGGGGGGGGGGGCCUUUUCUCCAAGAGGGAACCAGAUGGGACGGGCAGCCAGAGAGGAAUGGCAGCCAUGAAGGUGGUUAGGAGGCAAUGCUGCUGAGGUGAUGAACAGCAAAUGGGGGUAAUGGCUUGCCUAGGAAGAUAGCACCUGCUGCCGGGGGACAAAAGAGGUGGGGGGAUCUGAAAAAGGAAAAAAAAAAAAAAAAAAAGGAGAGAACGGAACUGGAGGGGGAAGCUCGGAAGGCAAAACGGGAGAGAGCUAGCCAGAGAUAGGAGGAAACACGCCGGUGAGACAUCUUGAAGGAGGUUGUCCCAGGUAUCAUUUCCAUAUGUUGUUGAUGCUUUCUUGUUCACGCCAUUCUGUCAUUUUUUUUUGGGUAUUGUGAGAUCCUAUUCUGGUGUCUGAAUGUGAGCAUAGGAGAUCCUUACGUAUUGCUUUUAACAUCUGAGUUUGAUCACACCUAUUUUAUGCUUGAUUUCUAUGUCUUCUUGGCUCUGUUUUGAAGAUUUCAUAUGAGGUAUUUGCAGUCCCUCCACCAUACCCAUCAAUUAAUACUUUGCCAUCUUCAUUUCCUCCGCUUGCCACCCUCCAUCAUCCACUCCCCACCGCCUAGUUUUCCUUUCUCACUCAGCGCAUAAGAAGCAUGCAUGCAUGGCUGCCUUCACUUCCCCACACCCAUCUUCAUACCCAUGCUCCAAUAUUCGUCAAGCUCAUCCCCCCAUGCUUGCAUGGCCACACGAAGCUGCCAUCGCUCCAUCCCAACCCUGCAACAUCCAUGCAAACACCCAUCUUUCCAUACCCAUCUCCACGCCAAUCCCACCCCUCGCCACCUUUUUUUCUCUAUGCCCGCGUAUCCACCAUCACUCACACCUCCAUGCGCGCGAGUCCUCUUCAGUGGCUGGGGAACGGGCAACAGCCAAGCAAGCCUUCCAUUCCCCACAGACCUCGCCGGAGCCGCCUUUGGGGUUCAGCGCCGCUGCUUCGGUUCGGGGCGCCUCUCUCUAGGCUAUCGACGGCGGCCUGCUCGCCGUCCUCUUCGACUGCUCCCGCGGCGUGGUCGACGACGCCAUCGGCGGAGACGUCCACCUAUUGGUGUCGUGGCUUCGAAAGCCAUGUGUCUCCACCGUCUCGGCGCCGCCAUCCCUGCCCCUCUCCUCUACGUCGUUGCUGGUGGAGCCUUCGCCUAAAGGAGUUGCCCAGAUGGAGAGGGAUGCCUUGGGCUGUGAAGGAGCUUGUGUGGGUGACGGGCUUGGUUUUGCCCAUGAUGGCUUUGGGCUUGGGUUUGAAUUUGAAGCCCAGGCCCAAGCCUAUGCUGAAGAUGGAGCCUUGAGUCUUGCCCAUUGAUGUCAUUGGACUUGGGCUUAAGUUGGAGCCCAGGCCCAUUUACGUUGAUGAAGGCCUUAUGCCUGCCACCCUCAUUAAGGUGGCCCAGGUCCAUGUCAAUUAGCCCAUUAGGUUGCCCCCAAAUUCUAAACAAUUUUCUAAAAAAAAAACCUCUAAUAUCCAUAAUUAAUUAGUUUGUUCAUCCCCAUUUAUUUGCUAUCUAAGUUUAUGUCUACCAACUUAGUUAACUCAUACUUAAAGACGAAUUAUUAUUGUUAAUUAUAUUUUUAUCUCAAAAUUUAUACUAUUCAAUUUCACUAGCUUAAACAUUAUGAUUAUUAAUUAUUAUUUCGCGUGUAUCUAUUUGUCAUCUUAAACAAAAAAUCUCAGUCAUCAAAGUUAAAUUCUAAUCCUUGAAAAAUCUCAUAUCCUAAUCUAAUCUUUCAAUAAUCUAUUUAAAUCCCAUUUUCAUCAAAUAAGAAUUAUUACCAUAUAUUAUCCAGCUAUUUAAAGUCUAAGGCUUUCAAAGAAAUCAUGUGUCUUAAUUAAAUUCUUCAAUAAUUAUUUCAAAUUUCAUUAUCAUCCAUUAGAGUUAGUAUCUCAUAUUUAUUUACUAAUUUAAAAUCCAACCCUUCAGAAAUCCGAUGUCCUAACUUAAUUUUCAAACCCUUAAAAAUUUCACUAUUCUUUUUAUUCCGUUCUAAAUGAUUAUUUUCGUUAAUUAGUAUUAUUAUCCUAUAUUAGUUUAUUUAUCCAAAAUCCAAUCCUUUAAAAAGAUCCAAUGUCACAAUUUAAUUAUCAAUCCUAAAAUUCUACUAUUUGGCUAAAUGUUAUUUCCUUUCAUUUGAAUUAGUAUCCUAUAUUCAUUUACUUAUUUAAAGUCUAAUCCCUCGAAAAUCUAACUCCCUAACUUAAUUUUUCAAUUCUAAAAAUUCCGCAAUUCGCUCAAAUCUUAUUUUCAUUAGAAUUAUCCUCCCCUAUUUACCUAUCUAUUUAAAGUCUAAUCCUUCGAAAAUCCCGUGCCUUAACCUAAUUUUUGAAUAAUUCGUUUAAACCUUAUUUUCAUCAAUUAAAAUCAUUAUCUCAUAUUUAUUUUAGUAAUUUAAUCUUUCAAUAAUCUGUUUAAAUCUUGUGUUCAUCAAUUGGAAUUAUUAUCCUAUAUUCAUCCAUCUAUCUAGUCUAAUCCUCCAAAAAUCCCAUGUUUUAAUUUAAUUCUUCAAAAUACUUGUUUAAAUCAUAUUUUCGUAAAUCGAAUCUAUAUCCCGUAUUUAUUAUCUAUUUAAAGUCUAAUCCAUCAAGAAAAUCCCAUGCUUUAAUUUAAUCUUUCAAUAAUCCGUUUAAAUCUUAUGUCCAUCAAUUGGAAUUAUUAUCCUAUAUUCAUCCAUCUAUCUAGUCUAAUCCUUCAAAAAUCCCAUGCUUUAAUUUAAUUCUUCAAAUAUUCGUUUAAAUCUUAUUUUCAUCGAUCAGGAUUAUUAUCCCAUAUUCAUCUAUUUAUUUAAAAAUUAGUUCUUCAAAAAUCUCAUGUCUUAAUUUAAUUUUUCAAUCCUAAAAAUUCUACAAUUCGUCUAAAUUUUAUCCUCACCCAUUAGAAUCAUUAUUCCAUAUCUAUUCAAAGUCCAAUCUUUCGAAAACCCCCUGUCUUAACUCAACUUUCGAUCCCAGAAAUUCCAUUAUUCGUCUAAAUUUUAUUUUUGUUAAUUAGGAUUCUUGUUCCACAUCUAUUUAUUUAUAUAGGAUCCAAUUCUUCAAAAAUCCAAUUUAUGAAUUAAAACUUCAAUCCCGAAAAUUCUACUACCCAUCUUUAUUCGCCUAAAUAUUAUUCUCGUUAAUUAGUAUUAUAAUCUCAUACCUACCUAUUUACUCAAAGCCUAAUCCUUUAAAAAUCCAACGCCCUAAUUCAAAUUUUCAAUUAGAAAAAUUCCACUAUUUUAUUUAUUUAUUUUAUUCGUUUAAACAUUAUUUUUGUUAAUAAGUAUCAUUAUUCCAUAUUUGUUCAUUUAUUUAUUUCAAUCAUUAAAAUUCAACUCUUCAAAACCGGAUUUCCAAAUUUAACCUUUAGACUAAAAAAAUUCCACCAUUCACUUUUAUUCACUUAAAUAUCAUCUUUGUUAUCAUUAUUAUAAAUUCCACGUUUACUUGUUUCUUUCUUCUAAAAAUUCUAAUAAUUAGAGUUCAAUUAUUCAAAGGCCCGACUUUUAAAAAUUAAUUUUCAAAAUCCCACUAUUCACUUUCAUCCGUUCAAAUAUCACUUUCGUCAAAAUCCGAUUUUCCAAUUUAAUUUUUAAUCUCACAAAUCUCACUAUUCAGUAUUCAUCCAUCCAAAUAUCGUUUUGAUUAAUUAGUAACAUUAUUCCAUACUUACCCAUUUAUUUCUCUUAAAAAUUUCAAUCAUUAAAGUCUAAUUCUUCAAAAUUCCGAUUCCUAAAUUUAGCUAUUUGAAAUUCCAAUUGUCCUAUCUCCGAACUUAAUUUUCAGUUUCUCAUGCUCCAAUUCCCGUAUUUAUCCCGUUACUUAUUAUUAUCAUUAUCAUUAUCAUCUUAUUCAUUAUUUCUAUAAAUUCUGCCUUCGAAUGAUUUCUAAGAUUUCCAAUUUUUAUACAUCAACUUUCAUAAUUUCUACGUCUCAAAUAACUUACGAUUCUGAUCCCUUUCGAAAUUUAACUCCCAUAAUCCCAAUUUUCGUAACUUAAUUUUUCUUUAAAAUCCCGAACUUUCAAAUAAUCCUUCAAAAUCCCAAUUUUCUUUCAAAUUUAAUUUCUAAAAGUUCUCAUUCUUACAUUUAAUUCCUAAGAAUCCAAUUUUCAAAUAAACUCUAAGAUUCCGAUUCUCAAAUGAAUUUCAAAAACCCAGUUUUCCUUCGAACAAUUUUAAUCUCUGCUUAGUGAUGCAUGUGAUAUGUUUUGUGCUCUAUAUGGUGUACUAACCCUCUCUAUUGAUAGCUCAUGGUGGCUCGUUGCCUAGGUAUGUACCCAUUUUCCCUCUAAUCGUUGUUUGUCCAUGUCUCGAUUCUUAUGUGUGCAUGAUCAUUCAGGAUAUUCAUUGAUUUACUCAUCAAUUGCCACAUUAGCUUCAUUUUAUUAGUAGAGACUCGACUUUAGGGACUUAGAGGGGUGCUAUGGUUUUCACCGUACCUUCCCGAUAAGUAACUUGACCCCCAAGCCUGAUCCGGUUUUUCGUAGAUCACCUUUUUCAAAACUAGGAGUCGCACUUAGGGUUUUUCUUUCUUAUUUUGUUUACCCUUUUAAAAAUAAAACAAAAAUAAGUGGCGACUCCAAGUCAAUUUUUCUUAAUCAAUUAAGAUCAUUUUUCGAAAUCAAAAUCGAGCUCGCCUUCGAGUAGGAAACGCAUGAGUUGAAAUGUGGGGUCCACACAUAUUUUCCAAUUUUUCUUGCUAGGUAAAUAAAAUCCAAAUUGAGACUUAAUAUCUUAAAUUCUUUAAUGAAUCUUCUCAUUUUUAAGAUAAUUUGAAAUUAAAAAAAAAAAAACUAAAGAUAAAAACUAAUCCAAAAUACUAUGCCCUCAAUUGAAUGGUAAAUGUAUAGAUGUAAUAAAUUUUUUACAUAUUUAAAUAUUAAAAAUAUUAAACUUUAUUUAUAUUUAAUAAGUUGAGACUUAACAUCUUAAAUUCUUUAAUGAAUCUUCUCAUUUUUAAGAUAAUUUGAAAAAAAAAAAAAAAAACUAAAGAUAAAAACUAAUCCAAAAUACUACGUCCUUAAUUGAAUGGUAAAUGUAUAGAUGUAAUAACAUUUUUACAUAUUUACAUAUUAAAAAUAUUAAACUUUAUUUAUUUAAAAAAAAAAAUUGAAUAAAUUGAGACUUAAUAUCAUAAAUUCUUUAAUGAAUCUUCUCUUUUUUAAGAUAAUUUGAAAUUUAAAAAAAAAAAAAAAACUAAUCCAAAAUACUAUGUCCUUAAUUGAAUGGUAAAUAUAUAGAUGUGAUAAAAAAAUUUACAUAUUUAAAUAUUAUAUUUUAUUUAUUUUUAAAUUUUUUUGAAUAAAAUAUUAUUAAUUUUAAAUUAUUAUUUCUUUUAAUAAAAAAUCAAUUAAGCUUUAGAAAGAUGAUCAUAUUUUUAUAGUAUGUACUAAAAUACUAUCAUUUUUGUAUAAAUAUAUAUAUAUAUAUAUAAUUCAUUAUUUUAGUACUAAAACUACUUAUUUUUUAAUUUAUUUAUAAUUAGAAAACUAUUUUUAGUUUAAUAAGACUUUAACUAAAUUUCAUUGAUAUCAUAAAAAUUGAAUUCACAAUUUUUUUGAUAAAAUUUAAAUAGUAAAAUUACUUUUAAAAACAAUUAAUCGAAAUGGGUUUUUUAUUUUUAUUUUUUUGUUUUUUGAAAAGUAAUUUUAAAGACGAGUUACCAAAUCCUAUUUCUUUUUAGAAAAUAUUAAAAAAUCAUUUUUUAUUCUUUAAUUUAAAAAUAAUUUUUAAAAGCAAGUAGAAAAAAGCAUUGCUAAUUCGACGCCCUAAAUUUCUAAUAUGUAAACAAGCAUAUAGGAAGUGAGCAAUGGGGAUGCCAAGAACGAACUCUCAGUUAAUUUUGGUCAUGCUUAUCCGAUUUCAUCAAACUUAGUUUCCAACACUUAAAAAUCAAACAUAAUUGUGACUUAAGUUGUCAAUGAAUAAAAAGCAACUCAAAACGGAAGAGAUGGAGUAGUUAUAUAACAUACCCAUGCUGCACAUGCCAUCCAGACAGACCGCCGACUUCGGUCAGUGCCGCCCUCCAUCUAAGCACCCUCUCCUCAGUGACGUUUCCAUAUCUUGCAAAUGCUUCUCCAAAACUUCUCGUUUGUUUCCGCACAUCAGACAGAUCCACAUGGUAGAAAAUUGGUAGAACUUUUUGGCCAUUUUCUCUGCUGCACUGCAUGAUCUUAUCAAGCUCAUCCAAGCACCAUUUUGAAUGAGCAUAGUUUUUGGAAAAAACUGUAGGGAAUUAAACCAAAUUCCCAACCUAUGAGAAACAAAAAUAGAAAAACACAUGCCAAAGAAAAGACAAUCACACGCACAAAACAGUAUUUACGUGGUUCGGCAAUUUGCCUACGUCCAGGGAGUUGUAGGGAUAUCACUAUUAUCAGGGAAGAAUACAGAGUACGACUUAGCGGCUAUAAUAUUCUCUCUAUAUAUAUAGCACGGCAACCCCACCAUACUAAAAAACCCUAAUUACAAAAUGUGGUUCCACAAUGGGUUAAACGGGCCCAACAGGCCUCAAUAAAUCUCCCAUUAAAAAGUCAUGCAAUAUUAUUCGAGUCGGGUCGUUAAACCGGAUCAAACAAAACUAGGCUCCACACAGCCCAACAAAUCUCCCACUUGGAGACUAGUCCAAUCACCAACAUCAAACCGCUAUCCUCCAAGAAACAAUCCCUCAUCCCUACAACUCAUCCUCCUGUCCUCAAGCUAAAAGACCAAUUGAAGCUGCGCAUAACUUCAACUUCUCAAUAGUGAUCAGUUUCACAUCUCUUGAACCUAAUUCUAUGCAUAAAAUUGUCAAACUUCUUAUACCACUGUCUAGGAGCUUGUUUAAGGCCAUACAAGCUCUUUCUCAGUUUGCAGACUAGAUUCUCUUGUCCCUGAACAAUGAACCCUUCUGGCUGAAUUAUGUAAAGGUCUUCCUCCAAGUCACCAUGAAGGAAUGUUGUCUUCACAUCUAACUACUCAAGAUGUAAGUUUUCUGCAGCCACCAUUCCAAGUACAAGUCUAAUUGUUGACAUCUUCACAACUGGAGAAAAUAUCUCUGUGUAGUCAAUGCCCUCCUUCUGCUAGAACCCUUUAACAACUAAUCUAGCCUUGUAACGUUUGCUACUAUCAUGCUCAUUCUUUAUUCUGUAUACCCACUUGUUGUGCAAAGCCUUCUUUCCUACUGGCAAUUCAGUUAGUUCCCAUGUUUGAUUCCCCAACAGGGAAUCCAUCUCAUCCUUCAUGGCUAACUCCCACUUGCUUGAAUUCUCAUCUUGCAAGGCUUCAUCAUAACACUCUGGCUCACCACCAUCAGUCAACAGGAGAUAAUUUAAAACAGGUGAAUAACGCUACGGAGGUCUAAUGUUCCUGGAAGAUCUGCGAACUUUAGCUACAAGUGUACUCAAAUCUACCUGUGAAUUUACAUUCUCCUUAUCUUCUUCACCCCCUUUUUGGAUAGUACUUUCAGUCAAUUCAUCUAAGUUGACAAACUCAGAUUUCUUUUGAUCUAUCUCUGUAACAUCUGACACUAUAGUUGACCUGUCCUUAUACAUAACCUGUUUAUUAAAUAUCACAUUUCUACUUCUGAUGAUUUUCUUGUUUUGUUCAUCCCAAAACCUAUAGCCAAAUUUCUCAUCACCAUAGCCAAUGAAAAAACAUAUUUUUGACUUUGCAUCAAGUUUACUACGAGCAUCAGAAUCAAUAUGAACAUAAGAAACACAACCAAAAACUUUUAAAUGUGAAAACUUCACCUCUUUACCGCUCUAAACCUCCUUAGAAAGUCUGAACUCCAUGGGAACUAAUGGUCCUCGGUUUAUCAGGUAAGCUGCAGUGCUAACAACAUCAGCCCAAAAAGUUUUUGGUAGUUCAGCAUGCAACCUCAUACUUCUAGCACGCUCAUUGAGAGUUCUGUUCAUGCGCUCAGCCACACCAUUCUGCUAUGGUGUCCCAAGAAUGGUUUUCUCCAUCCUAAUUCUCUGUGCAACACAAUACUCACUAAACCCUCCAUCUAUGUACUCUCCUCCAUUAUCUGACCUCAAAUAUUUUACUUUCAAACCUGUUUCUGUCUCAACCAUGGCCUUCCAUUUCUUAAAAGUUUCAAAUACAUCAGACUUAUUUUUCAGAAAAUAAACUCAUACCUUUCUACUUGGAGUCAUCAAUAAAAGUGAUGUAGUACCUUGAAUCUCCUAGGGAUGCAACCGGAGAAGGCCCCCACAAAUCAGUGUGUACUAGUUCCAAUUUUUCAGCCUUCUGUGUCCUGCCAGUUUUCAAGAAGCUCACCUUUUUUUGCUUUCCUAAGAUGCAACUUUCACACAUGUCAAAAUCAAUGGACUUCAAUUCUGGUAGUUUUCCUUUUGACAACAACAUCUUCAUCUCUUUCUCACUCAUGUGACCAAGUCUGCGGUGCCAUAGGCUUGUAUCAGUACUUGCAUCAACAAUUGCAAUUGUGUCUCUUGGACAUGAGAUCAUAUACAGAGUACCGGUCUUCUUUCCACGAGCCAAUACCCUAGCUCCCUUUGUAACCUUCCAAGUACCACCAACAAAUAGUAUUGCAUGUCCUUCAUCAUCAAGUUGUCCAACAGAAAUCAGAUUCCUCCUCAGGUCAGGAAUAUGUCGAACCUUCUCCAAUAACCAAACAGACCCAUUGGGCAACGAUAUCCAGACGUCUCCCAGACCCACAACAUCCAAGGCUGAACCAUCAGCCAAAUACACCUUACCAAAAUCACCUGUAACAUAAUUCUGUAUGAUUUCUCGGUGUGGAGUGGUAUGAAACGAAGCUCCUGAAUCCAAAACUCAAUCAUCAAGUGGACUGUCUACUGCAAGAAGUAAUGCAUCAUGUACCUCUUCUGUUACAACAUUAGCAGAAUCAUCUUCAUUCUUCUUCUUAGGGCUUUUGCAUUGCCUUUUAAAGUGACAUGUUUUCCCACAAUUCCAGCAUUGUACUUGUUGGCCUGAUCUAGAUUUGCUUCUGUUUCGAUUAGAAUUUCUGGAAUUUGAUCUACCCCGAUUUGAAUUUCUGUCAUUACCUUUGCCUCUUGUCUCAAGGUUUCACCUGCAUCUCUUCGGUGAAUCUCCUCAACCAUAAUUAAAUCUUGUAUAUCAUUGUACUUGAGCUUUUCCUUUCCCGUCGAAUUGCUUACUACCAUCCUCAUUGCCUCCCAACUGUUUGGCAAAGAAGCCUAGACGAUUAGAGUACGAAUCUCAUCAUCAAAAUCAAUUUCUACAGAUGACAAUUGAUUUGUGAUUGUAUUAAAUUCAUUCAGAUGUUGUGCUACUGAUGCAUUCUCUGCCAUCUUCAAAUUGAACAAUUUCUUCAUCAGAUGCACCUUAUUGUUUGCGGGCGGCUUUUCAUACAUACCGGACAAAGCCUUCAUCAAAUCUGUUGUGGUCUUCUCCUUUACAACAUUAUGUGCAACAGACCUAGACAGAGUUAACCUAAUAACUCCUAGAACCUGUCUGUCAAGAAGCGCUCAUUCCUCAGCCUUCAUACUCUCAGGUUUUGUCCCCAAAAGAGGCAGAUGCAAUUUCCUCCCAUAGAGAUAAUCUUCAAUCUACAUCCUCCAAUACGCAAAGUCUGUGCCAUCAAACUUUUCUAUUCCAGACGUUUUUCCUACUUCCUCUGCCAUUGCUCCCACUCAAACCUAACCCUAGGCUCUAAUACCAAUUGUAGGGAAUUAAACCAAAUUCCCAACCUGUGAGAAACAAAAAUAGAGAAAACACACGCCAAAGAAAAGAUAAUCACACGCACAAAACAAUAUUUACGUGGUUCGGCAAUUUGCCUACGUCCACGGAGUUGCAGGGAUAUCACUAUUAUCAGGGAAGAAUACAGAGUACGACUUAGCGGCUACAAUAUUCUCUUUAUAUAUAUAGCACGGCAACCCCACCAUAUUAAAAAACCCUAAUUACAAAAGGUGGUUCCACAAUGGGCUAAACGGACCCAACAGGCCUCAAUAAAUCUCCUAUUAAAAAGCCAUGCAAUAUUAUUCAGGUCGGGUCAUCAAACCGGAUCAAAUAAAACUAGGCUCCACAAAGCCCAACAAAAACUACAAUAGACAUCUUUGAUUCUUCAAUAGCUUUCAAGAGUCAAGUUUGAAUCUCUCCUCUUCUUUGAAGUCCUUCUUCAUCUCUAAAGGUGUGGAUGUACCUACUCGUCAAAGCCGAAUAAAGAUGAUCCGUAAAAUUUGAAGCUGGUAUCUUCCCCUCUAAAGCUCAAAAAAACAUCCCAUCUCCGAUAUUGAAAAGAAGAGGUGCCUGAAGAAGCCAUUCUUGGGAGCUAUCUGGUUGUGAGUCCCAAAUUCCAAGACACUGAGAAAAUUUUGGGUCGUCAUGGAAAGAUUCUCUCUCUCGACCUUUUUAACAUAGGAACUUCCUCUAAUCUUGCAAGGAACUUUCAUAUUUUUUAUUUUAUCUUAUUCUUUUUAGUUUUUAAUUUUGUUAAUGCCUAUAUGCAUUGUGUUUGGAACAAAGGGCGAGGCUUCAUGGAAAGGCCGGUGCAUUUUCUUUCUGUGAGAGGUGAAUAGGCCAGGAAAGAAGGUGGACAUCAAAGUCAACACUGACUGCUAUUGCCUGCCUCUUUUCUCAUUUUUGGACUAUGUUGUAGCUUUUUCAUUCCUUAAUCCCAUACCAUCAGUAAUCAACAUUUUAUCAAUUUUUCUUAUUUUUUAUUGUUUACAUUUAGAAAUAUUAAUUUUAAAAUUUUAACUUAUAAGUUAAUUUAUAACCACAGCAACAACAACAACAAUAAUUAGGAGUAAAGCAUAUUAAAGGUUUGUUGAGAAUGAUUUUGAUAAAAAUAAUUUAAACUUGUAAUAGUAUUAUUAAUAACAAUUUAUUAUAUAUAAAUUUUUAUAGUCAUUUAAUGUUCACAUAUAAGUGAAAAAAUGUUCUUGAUAAUUUGUGUAUUAAAGGUUUGGGAUACAAUUUUAAAAUUCACCUUCCCUAUUUUGUCAUCAAUGAUUCGCUGAGUCCUUUUUAAAAAUGAUAAAAUUUAAAAUAAAAUUCACUUUGUGUCUUGACGCUUUUUCUUUUUGACCAAGACUCUCUGUGUCAGCCUGACGCUUUUUCUUUUUUACCAAGACUCUGUGUUUAUAUGAGGGAGAGAAAGAGAGAGAGAGAGAGAGAGAGAGAGAGAGAGAUAUGCUCUUUUUAGCAAGGUGGCAUCUCAGCAACUACAAGGUUUUUGAGACAAUUAUUUUCUUGGCUAUAGAAUUGCUAAGCCCUAUUUCAUAUUUGAUUUUCACUUGGGAAAAUAAGAAAUGUUUUAACUUUCUCUAAUUUUAUUUUUUUCCCUUUCGUUUUUUCAACCUCUAAAUUUUACAACAUGCAAAUGCAAUUAAUAAUUAUUGACUUACAAAAAUAAAUUAAAUUAUCUCAAUUUCAUUUUCAUGUAAUUGAAUUGAAAAAUGAAUUUACCGUAAAUGAGAAAAAAUGUUAAUUAAAAAACCAAGCUAAUUUGAAAUAGGUGGUAUUUUUUAUCAAGAAAAUUUAAAUCUAAAACUUUUAAAUUUUCACUCAAAAGAAAAAUUGGUAAAUACAAAUAACUUAAUUUGAUUAAGAAAUGAACCUAACAGCCUUCUUGUCCAUCUUGUUGCGUAGAUGAUUAGGUACAAAGACAUAGCAAACACAUCCGAAAACUCGAAAAUAACUAACUGUAGGCUUUAUGUUCCACAAUUUUUCAAAGGGUGAUGAAAAAUUUAACCUUUGUUGAGGAAGCCUAUUGAUCACAAAAGCUGCAGUCUUCAUUACUUCUGCCCAAAACCGUCCUGGAACAUUCUUUGCAUGAAGCAUACUUCUACAGAUUUCUGCUAGGUGCCUGUUCUUUCUUUUUGCUACGCCGUUUUGAUGCGGAGUGUUGGCACAUGUGAAUUGAUGGCGUACUCGGCAUUCUCGGAGGAAGUAAAAAAACUCAUCUGAGGUAUACUCUCCCCCAUUGUCAGUACACAGACAACAAAUUCUCUUAUCAACCUCUGCUUCCGUCAUUUCCUUGAAUUCUUUAAACUUUGAGAAAGUUUCAGAUUUUUAUUUCAUAAAGUACACCCACACGUACUUGGAAAAAUCAUCAAUAAAGGUCACCAUGUAUUUCAUCCCACUAAGAGAGGCUUGCUUAACAGGUCCAAACACAUCAGAGUGAAUUAGCUCUAAUGGCCCCUUUGCUUUCCAUUUUGACUCUUCAUACGGCAACUGAUGCGCUUUGCCGUACUGACGUCCUGCGCAGAUUGUAUCUUUUCUCACUUCAAGUUGUGGAAGUCCCUUCAGCAUUGACUUUUUCAUCAUCACAGUUAGUUUGGAAUAACUAACGUGACUUAAUUGCAUAUACCAUAAAUCGGCUGUCUCGUUCUUUCUGGUCUUGUCUACAUAUGCGGUUUCUGCAAACAUCACAUAGACUGACUCUAGUCUCCGUCCCUUUAUCACCGGCUCUUCCAUAAUCUCAAGGUCACGAUAAACUUUCACAUCUUGAGGGCCAAAUAGAACAAAAUGGCCUGAAGACGUUAAUUGUGCAACCGAGAGAAGAUUUUUCUUCAUACCUGGGACGUGAUAGACAUUUUGAAGCAUCACAUCAUUAGUAUUAUAUUGGGAAAAGACUACUGUAUUACCAAUGUGAGCUAUUGGUAGUUUUGAGUUGUUCGCUGUGACUACCAUAUGUCUUCCCUUGUACUCCGAAAAAUCCUGCAGCUUUUCUUUAUCACCUGUCAUAUGAUUUGGGUAGCCUGAGUCAAUGAUCCAAUCCUUCUCAUAAUGAAUUUGUUUAGACGUUGUUGCUAUAAAAGCUAAUUCUCCUAUUACAACAAAAAAUGCCUGAGUGUCCCACUCAUCUUCACUUUUGGAAGUAGCAGCAUUACUUUCCACAAGCCCUUUUUUCGACCAACAAUCUUUUGCCAUGUGACCCUUUUUUCCGCAAUUGUAGCACUUCCCUUCAAAUUUUUUUCCUGGUGCCAGGAUUCUUCGAAUCUCCCUCAACACGAGCACUCCUUUCACCUUGACUACUUUUUGCCUUGUCCUCAUUCUUUUUAGUUCUAUCGACGGUGUGCUGCUUGGAAUUCCACCUGCCUUUGUGGGCAUAAAGCGCUUCCUCUUCACCCUUGAGUGAAACCCCUCCCAUUUGUUUAGCUAAGGCUUCUUGACCAGUAAGCAAAUUCUCAAACUCAACAAGUGAUGGUUGAUUUUGCCAUCCCUGUACAACAGCAACAAAACCUCUGAAUUCUGGUCUCAAACCAUGGAUGAUUAUUCUCUUCAUCCUGGUUUCACCGAUUGGGGCUUCUAGAUCCAACUCGAAAAUUUCCCGGCAUAACGUCUUCACCUUGUGAAAGUACUGAGUGAUCGUCAAGUCACGUUGUGCUACCGACAACAACUCGCUCUCUAGAAGUUGGAGCCUUGUGUCAUUCUUCUUUGAGAACAGCUUGGUGAACGUAUUCCAAGCUUCGUAAGGGGUUUUGGCAUCUCAAAUGUGCUCUAGCACAUCUUCUUCGAUCGUUGUCUUCAAAGCAAACAUCGUUUUGCCUGCUUUUAUCUUCCAUAUCCGCAGUAUACCAUUCACAUCCUCAGCCUCCAAUUGAGUAAUUUCGCUUCUGUUCACAACCUCCCACAAGUCUUGGCCUUGCAUGUACGACAUCAUGCAUGUUAACCAAGUAUUGUAAUUUUGGUUGUUGAGCUUUUUUAUUCCGCCAAUGACUUGAAGAUCACCCAUUUCACUCUCUCUUUUCCUCACGUGUUUGACUCUCAAACACUCUCUAAAAUCCCUCUUCAACCUGACUCUGAUACCAAAUGUUGAAACCACUUUAUAAAAGAGACACAUAGAGGAGGAAAGAAAAUAAUUUUAUUGAUAGGGUGAUAUUUUUAAACUUCACCUGAUACAAGCCUUUUAUAGGCAAAACCAUCAACAGAAAUAGAAAUACUAAAAAAUAGGAAUAGAAAGAUAACCAGUCACUCUAAACGUGCUGCAACGACCUCUCUAAGACUUGGACAAUUCUUAAUUUAUUGAAAAACUACACAGAGGCAUAUUUUUGACACAAAAACAAACUUGACUUGUUCAAUACAUCCUCUCGGUCACAUGCUGAUGUUGAUAACUUAAACAACUUAUUUGUACAAAUUUUUCCCCUAGGAUAUCUGCUAGAAGUUGUUUUUGUAAUUCAAGCAAUGGAUAGUGUUGCCAUGCCUCACGAACAUUUGAAAGAAAGAUAGCAUCUUCAAAUUGAUGAGCAAUUUCGUUGUAUAUUACUUUGGCGAGGAUGGUCUUUCCUAUUCCACCAAGUCCAUAUAUUCCUAUCACGCGAACAUCAUUUGACCAGUGCAUUCAUUUCUUCCAAACGGAAAUCCAUUCCGACGAGGUUCUCAUCAACAUGAAAGCGUUUAGGUUAUGUUUGGUUCCCGAAAAAUAUUAAAGAAAGAAAAAAAAUGCAAAGAAAAAUGAUUUUUUCAUGUUUGGUUGUCCUAUGAAAAAUAUAAAAGAAAAUCAAAUAUAAUUAAAACUAAUUAAAAACUUAUGUAUUUUAAAAUUAUUUAAUCUUUAUAUUAAUGAGUUAAAAUAAAUAAAAUGAGUUUGAAGUAAAAAAUAAAAAUAACUAAUCAACUUUUAAUCCAUUUUUUAUUUUCCUUCACUUUUUCUUUCCUUCUAUUUUUCCUUUGUAUUUUCUUUCUCUUGCAUUUUCCUUCAAAUUUUCUGAGAACCAAACAUAGCCUUAGGCUUCAGCAUAUUGGAAACGUUUUGAGUAAUGCGAUGAAUGAUCUCAGAUUCCCAAAUGGAAAGCACAAUAUAACAACCUCCAAUGAACUACAAAUUAAUUGUAAGAAAAAAAAAAUUGAUGAUGAUUUAGUUUUAGUUUUUUUUGAAGCAGGUGAAACUAUUGGUGGCAGACUGGCAGUUGCCAUUAGAAAAAUGAAAAAUACCAAUCGAGUUUAUUUGUGCCGCAGGUGAAACUACUUAGUUUUUUUAAAAUUACUUUUCUAUUUUUUAAAUAUGAUUUAAAAAUACCUUUCUAUUUUUUAAAUAUGAUUUAAACGUUUUUCUAUUUUUGAAAUUAAAACCCUAUUUUAAAAAAAUUAUGGUCAGUUUGGUGGUCAUUCUCUACAAAUAAUCUUUAAAAAUAAGAUGAAAUAAAAAAGAAUUUUGGAGAACAAGUAAUAUAAGUUAUUUUUACAUAUUUAUAAAAACAAAGAAAAGCAUUGGGAAGUAAUUUAAAAAAGAAAAUAAUAAAAAAAUAAACAAAGUCUGAUAGAUCUCUUUCUUCUUUUAUUCUCUCUCCACCAAUCAAUAUCAAAAUUUUUAAAUAUGAUUCCUUUUUAAUUACACUUUAUUUAUUUAUUUAUUUGAAUUUACUUUAACUUUUAAAAUUCUUUAGGUAAAUAAAUUCCAAAUCAAAUGGUACAUGAUAUAUAUGAUUUAUUAAUUUAAAAAAAAAAAUUAAAACUCAAAAACCAAUCCAAUUAGUGUUGGAAAGUUACAAAACUCAAAACCAAUAUAGAAAACAAAUUUUGUUAAUUUUUUUACCAUGAACUUCAAAUCAAGUAAAAUUUAAUAUUUUUUUAUUCAUAAAUAAGUUUAGUAAUUUUUAAAAAUAAUUUCAAACUCAAAUAAUAACUCAAUUAAUAUAAAAAAUUUAUAAACAAAAAUUAGUUUAAAAUUACUUUAUUGUUUGACUAAUCUAUAGAAUCAUUUUUUUCUUUAAUUUGUUAGCAAGUUUAUUAAUUAAAAAAAAUAUAGAAUUCAAAACAUAACACAAUUAGUAGUGGAAAUUCACAAUCUAAAAUCUAUCCAAAAUGACUCUUAUAUUUCUCAUACAAAACUUUAUUUUUAUGAGUUUUGUCGCUGAAAAAAUGGAUUUUUAAUAGAAUUCAAAAAUAGACCAAAGUACUAUAAAAAAUAAUAAACCAAAAUUAAUACAUAAUAAGUUAUAACUUACUGUUUCUCCUAAGCGCAUAACCAUAUUUUCCAAAUUUUCUUGCUAGGUAAAUAGAAUCUAAAUCGGGACUUAAUAUCUUAAAUUCUUUAAUGAAUCUUCUCAUUUUUAAGAUAAUUUGAAAUUAAAAAAAAAAAACUAAAGAUAAAAACUAAUCCAAAAUACUAUGCCCUUAAUUGAAUGGUAAAUGUAUAGAUGUACUAAAAAUUUUACAUAUUUAAAUAUUAAAAAUAUUAAACUUUAUUUAUUUUUAAUAAAUCGAGACUUAAUAUCUUAAAUUCUUUAAUGAAUCUUCUCAUUUUUAAGAUAAUUUGAAAAAAAAAAACUGAAGAUAAAAACUAAUCCAAAAUACUACGUCCUUAAUUAAAUGGUAAAUGUAUAGAUGUAAUAAAAAUUUUACAUUUUUAAAUAUUAAAAAUAUUAAACUUUAUUUAUUUAAAAUUUUUUUUUUGAAUAAAUCAAGACUUAAUAUCUUAAAUUCUUCAAUGAAUCUUCUCAUUUUUACGAUAAUUUGAAAUUUAAAAAAAAAAUUGAAGAUAAAAACUAAUCCAAAAUAGUAUAUCCUUAUUUGAACGGUAAAUAUAUAGAUGUGAUAAACUUUUUUACAUAUUUAAAUAUUAAAAAUAUUAAACUUUAUUUAUUUUUAAAUUUUAUUGAAUAAAAUAUUAUUAAUUUUAAAUUAUUAUUUAUUUUAAUAAAAAAUCAAUUAAGCUUGAGAAAGAUGAUCACAUUUUUAUAACAUGUACUAAAAUAGUAUCAUUUUUGUAUAUAUAUAUAUAUAUAUAUAUAUAUAUAUAUAUAUAUAUAUAUAUAUAUAUAUAUAUAUAAUUCAUUAUUUUAGUACAUGUAAACAAGCAUAUAGGAAGUGAGCAAUGGAUGCCAAGAACGGACUCUCAGUUAAUUUUGGUCAUGCUUAUCCGAUUUCAUCAAACUCAGUUUCCAACACUUAAAAAUCAAACAUAAUUGUGACUUAAGUUGUCGAUGAAUAAAAAGCAACUCAAAACGGAAGAGAAAGAGUAGUUAUAUAACAUGCCCAUGCUGCACAUGCCAUCCAGACAGACCGCCGGCUUCGGUCAGUGCCGCCCUCCAUCUCAGCACCCUCUCCUCAGUGACGUUUCCGUAUCUUGCAAAUGCUUCUCCAAAACUUCCCGUUUGUUUCCGCACAUCAGAUGGAUCCACAUGGUAGAAAAUUGGUAGAACUUUUUGGCCCUUUUCUCUGCUGCACUGCAUGAUCUUAUCAAGCUCAUCCAAGCACCAUUUUGAAUGAGCAUAGUUUUCUGAAAAAACGACAACAGAAAUCAUUGAAUCUUCAAUAGCUUUCAAGAGUGAAGGUUGAAUCUCUCGUCCUCUUUCAAGUCCUUCAUCAUCUCUAAAGGUGUCGAUGCCCAUCCUCGUCAAAGCCGAAUAAAGAUGAUCCGUAAAAUUUAAGCGGGUAUCUUCCCCUCUAAAGCACAAAAAAACAUCCCAUCUCCAUUGAAAAGAAGAGGUGCCUGAAGAAGCCAUUCUUGGGAGCUAUCUGGUUGUUAGUCUCAAAUUACAAGACAAUCAGAAAAUUAUGGGUUGUUGUGGGAAG
This 27693-nucleotide long non-coding RNA is filed under the name Vitis vinifera (wine grape). RNAcentral describes it as "long non-coding RNA (VVIN_LNC007503)". The record is from RNAcentral. Lineage: Eukaryota; Viridiplantae; Streptophyta; Magnoliopsida; Vitales; Vitaceae.